GACGAACCGUACGAACGUUAUUCGGAAUUACUGGGCUUAAAGGGCGCGUAGGCGGCCCCUGUUUGUCGCGUGUGAAAGCCCCCGGGCUCAACCCCAGGAAGUGCACUCGAAACUGCGAGGCUAGAGUACUGGAGAGGUUGGUGGAAUUCUCCGGUGUAGAGGGUGAAAUUCGUAGAUAUCGAGAGGAACACCCGGGUGGGCCGAAAGGGCGGGGUCUCUGGG
RNAcentral lists this ribosomal RNA (222 nucleotides) under uncultured bacterium. RNAcentral describes it as "partial 16S ribosomal RNA". It matches the Rfam family "Bacterial small subunit ribosomal RNA", at positions 524 to 737 of the family's 1533-position model. The record is from RNAcentral.